GAUUAGGGUUGUGCCACGGGAGAGACUCACCCACUGCAUCCACGCUGAGCUCCCGCCUGUGCCUGGUGCGGUUGGUGGCAGCGUCCAGGACAAGAACGUGGAGCUGGGUGAAGAGCCGCACAUCUUGGCUGGGGAACACGCAGAUGUGCCGCAUCCCAUUGGCCCCACGGCGCUGUGUGGAGACUGCACAUAUGGGGUGAACUGGAGCAUCACACCUUACUGCUGUGCUGCUGGCUGAUCCCAGAUGAAAGGAAUGAUCACAGGGAUGCCAAAGUCUCCAGAUAUCUGCCAGGUGUUCCCCCCUGUUCUCCCUGCCCCUUACCUUGCCCUGACCCCUUGCCCUGUUCCUCCUUUCCCAGAUGGCAUCUUCUUCCUCCCACCCAUAUGCUCUGCCCGCAGACCACAGCCUGCUCUCUCCUACCUGCCCUUCCCUUUUUGCACCCCCAGCCACCCCAGCCUCUCUUGCCCUUCCCUGGCAGUGCCCCCCACCCAGCCCCAGGGUGGCACUGCCUCUGCUCUGCCAUGCCUUGUGGUUCCCAGAGCACCCUCAAGGCACAGCUCUGCAGCUGGCACAAAGCAAGCUCAGGCAUCGCGCUGGCACUGUAGCAGUGGUUUCUGGGCACAGAAGCAAAAGGUGAGCCCAAAGCCUCCUUUCCUACCCCCGCACCUGUAGGGGUGGUUUAAAGGGUGCUCCUAUGACCACUAUAGCAGUCUGACCACAGAUCUUGGAUGAGUGCGAAAACAGGAGCAUGACAUUAAACGUUUUGUACAGUUAA
Lagopus leucura (white-tailed ptarmigan) is the source of this 776-nucleotide long non-coding RNA. RefSeq lists it as uncharacterized. NCBI's taxonomy places the organism in Eukaryota, Metazoa, Chordata, Aves, Galliformes, Phasianidae. The record is from RefSeq and is a predicted model, not a curated record. The transcript has 2 exons.